UACGGAGGGGGCUAGCGUUGUUCGGAAUUACUGGGCGUAAAGCGCACGUAGGCGGCUCUGUAAGUUAGAGGUGAAAGCCCGGAGCUCAACUUCGGAAUUGCCUUUAAGACUGCAUCGCUUGAAUCAUGGAGAGGUCAGUGGAAUUCCGAGUGUAGAGGUGAAAUUCGUAGAUAUUCGGAAGAACACCAGUGGCGAAGGCGACUGACUGGACAUGUAUUGACGCUGAGGUGCGAAAGCGUGGGGAGCAAACAGG
Molecule: ribosomal RNA, 253 nt
Filed under: uncultured bacterium
Lineage: Bacteria
Description: partial 16S ribosomal RNA
Rfam family: Bacterial small subunit ribosomal RNA
Source: RNAcentral